This 408-nucleotide ribosomal RNA is filed under the name uncultured bacterium. RNAcentral describes it as "partial 16S ribosomal RNA". It matches the Rfam family "Bacterial small subunit ribosomal RNA", at positions 28 to 526 of the family's 1533-position model. The record is from RNAcentral.
GACGAACGCUGGCGGCAUGCUUAACACAUGCAAGUCGCACGGAGUGGCGAACGGGUGUGUAACACGUGGGUGAGCUUCCCUGCACUUCGUGGUAAGCCUGGGCAACUGGGUCUAAUCCCGCAUCGUGUGGGAUGGGCCCGGGGCCUAUCAGCUUGUUGGUGGGGUAAUGGCCUACCAAGGCGGCGACGGGUAGCCGGCCUGAGAGGGUGGACGGACACAUGGGGCCUGCGGCACGGCCCAGACUCUUAAGGGAGGCAGAAGUGGGGACUAUGGUCAAAUGCGCGGACGCCUGAUGCAGCGACGCCGCGUGGGGUAUGACGGCCAUCCGGGGGCAAACUCCCUCCACCGUCGACGCGGUAGAUUGAGAAGAAGCACCGGCUAACGCCGUGCCAGCAGCCGCGGUAAUUC